Molecule: ribosomal RNA, 253 nt
Filed under: uncultured bacterium
Lineage: Bacteria
Description: partial 16S ribosomal RNA
Rfam family: Bacterial small subunit ribosomal RNA
Source: RNAcentral
UACGGAGGGUGCGAGCGUUAAUCGGAAUGACUGGGCGUAAAGGGCAUGUAGGCGGAUGGUUAAGUUAGAUGUGAAAUCCCUGGGCUUAACCUAGGAAUUGCAUUUAAAACUGGUUAUCUAGAGUAUUGUAGAGGAAGGUAGAAUUCCAUGUGUAGCGGUGAAAUGCGUAGAGAUGUGGAGGAAUACCGGUGGCGAAGGCGGCCUUCUGGACAGAUACUGACGCUGAGAUGCGAAAGCGUGGGGAGCAGACAGG